Molecule: ribosomal RNA, 293 nt
Filed under: uncultured bacterium
Lineage: Bacteria
Description: partial 16S ribosomal RNA
Rfam family: Bacterial small subunit ribosomal RNA
Source: RNAcentral
GUGCCAGCAGCCGCGGUAAUACGUAGGGGGCAAGCGUUGUCCGGAAUUAUUGGGCGUAAAGCGCGCGCAGGCGGCUUCUUAAGUCAGGUGUGAAAGCCCACGGCUCAACCGUGGGGGGCCACUUGAAACUGGGAAGCUUGAGUGCAGGAGAGGAGAGCGGAAUUCCACGUGUAGCGGUGAAAUGCGUAGAGAUGUGGAGGAACACCCGUGGCGAAGGCGGCUCUCUGGCCUGUAACUGACGCUGAGGCGCGAAAGCGUGGGGAGCGAACAGGAUUAGAUACCCGUGUAGUCCA